AUUGAACGCUGGCGGCAGGCCUAACACAUGCAAGUCGAGCGGAGCGGCGGACGGGCGAGUAAUGCAUAGGAAUCUGCCUGGCCGUGGGGGAUAACGUGCGUAAACGUGCGCUAGUACCGUAUACUGUCAGCUGGGCCUAGGUGGGAUUGGCUAGCUGGUGGGGUAAGGGCCUACCAAGGCGACGAACGGUAACUGGUCUGAGAGGAUGAUCAGCCACACUGGAACUGAGACACGGUCCAGACUCCUACGGGAGGCAGCAGUGGGGAAUAUUGGACAAUGGGCGAAAGCCUGAUGCAGCCAUGCCGCGUGUGUGAAGAAGGUCUUCGGGUUGUAAAGCACUUUAAGUGGGGAGGCGUUACCAACAGAAGAAGCACCGGCUAACUCCGUGCCAGCAGCCGCGGUAAUUC
Molecule: ribosomal RNA, 407 nt
Filed under: uncultured bacterium
Lineage: Bacteria
Description: partial 16S ribosomal RNA
Rfam family: Bacterial small subunit ribosomal RNA
Source: RNAcentral